Molecule: ribosomal RNA, 429 nt
Filed under: Acidobacteriota bacterium
Lineage: Bacteria; Pseudomonadati; Acidobacteriota
Description: Acidobacteria bacterium partial 16S ribosomal RNA
Rfam family: Bacterial small subunit ribosomal RNA
Source: RNAcentral
UGGGGAAUUUUGGACAAUGGGGGAAACCCUGAUCCAGCCAUCCCGCGUGUGCGAUGAAGGCCUUCGGGUUGUAAAGCACUUUUGGCCGGAAAGAAACGUCAUGGGUUAAUACCCCGUGAAACUGACGGUACCUGCAGAAUAAGCACCGGCUAACUACGUGCCAGCAGCCGCGGUAAUACGUAGGGUGCAAGCGUUAAUCGGAAUUACUGGGCGUAAAGCGUGCGCAGGCGGUUCGGAAAGAAAGAUGUGAAAUCCCAGAGCUCAACUUUGGAACUGCAUUUUUAACUACCGGGCUAGAGUGUGUCAGAGGGAGGUGGAAUUCCGCGUGUAGCAGUGAAAUGCGUAGAUAUGCGGAGGAACACCGAUGGCGAAGGCAGCCUCCUGGGAUAACACUGACGCUCAUGCACGAAAGCGUGGGGAGCAAACAGG